Zea mays is the source of this 3887-nucleotide RNA transcript. RefSeq lists it as uncharacterized. The transcript has 5 exons. The record is from RefSeq and is marked validated. Lineage: Eukaryota; Viridiplantae; Streptophyta; Magnoliopsida; Poales; Poaceae.
GUAUACUCAAAGUAUUGGACGCCCAGCCCAGCCCACCAGAAGAGGACAAACCAGAUUCGAUUCCUCCUCCUGUCCUCCAUCUCCCCAAUUCGCACGGCCAUCGGACCAUGGAUUCCGGCGUGCCUGCCUCUGCGCCUGCCCCUCCCAAACACAAGACAUGCCGGAAGUGCAAGGCGAGCUAUGACCCCUCGGCCAACACGCGCCUCUCCUGCAGGUUCCACCCUUCCUUCUUCGUCUGCCGCCGCCACGACGACCAGAAGAGGUACUACGAGCUCCGCGACGGCGAUCCUCCCUACGCCGCCAAGUUCUACGACUGCUGCGGCGCCGAGGACCCCGACGCUCCGGGCUGCACCACUGACUUGCACCGUUCCUACGACGACGCCCAAGACUAGCAAACCUUUGCUGCUUCCACAGGCCUCAUCUUAAUCUCAAGUCUCAUCUACCGUUUCGCUUUUGCAUCCCCUCCUUAUCCUCUCUAGUCAGCUAUCAAAUUAAACCAUCUAUGUACACUUAAAUAAAUUUUGCUUCAGAUAUGUUACCUACUGGAGCUUUUUUUUUCCUUUUUUUUUGCAAUUGAUCAAACAUAUCUCUCUUCAUCUAUACACCGUCUGUUUGGUUGGCUUGCCUCUCAGGAUGCUUUAAGUAUCAUACGAGUCUGACUCCACAUCUGCACGUAGGUAACCAAACACACACCUCGCACACGUAAAGCCUGGAACCAAACACAUGAAUACUAAACUGGAACAUAAGGCGCCCCCUAUCUGAACUCCCAAAAAAAGCCAGCAAUUCAUAAAAGUUUAUGUCAUACAAACUUUGAUUCAGUAAUUCUGAUUCAUUGUAAUAACAUCGAUCUUGUUUGGAAUAAACAUUUCACUGGGAUAUAGAAUAUCCAAAUGUAAAUAGUUUCUGUCCAUGCAUAUCCCACACCUGUUUUUAUAAAAAAAAAAUCAGGCCGUCAGUAUUCUCUUUCAGUUCUUCAUUCAAAUGAUAAUUCAGGGACUUCAAGGGAAGGUGGUGCAUCACUUUUAACAGCAAGGGCACGUGGGUAUAGAUCUGAUCGGCGCGAUUUUUUUCUUUCUUUCUUUCCGGACAGCGGCACCGCACCGGGUACUAUUUUGACCUCGGUCGCUCAAAAUCUCUGUCUGUCGGCCCGCCAGACCCCAGACCUAGACCCUCCAAAAACAACUCAACAACAAUGCUGCUCCUCCUCCUCCUGCUCGUCGCCUCCUCCUCCCUGUCCCAGGAGGGCGUCCUCGCCGACGUGCCGCCGUCCAACAAGCUGGUCUUCAUCCUGGCGGGGCAGUCCAACAUGGCCGGCCGCGGCGGGGUGGUGGCGAACCGCUGGGACGGCGUGGUGCCGGGCGACUGCGCGCCGUCCCCCGCGGUGCUGCGUCUCUCGCCCGACCUGCGCUGGGAGGAGGCGCGGGAGCCGCUGCACGCCGGCAUCGACGCCGCCAACCACGCCGUCGGGGUGGGCCCCGGGAUGGCGUUCGCCAACGCGCUGCUGCGCUCGGGCCGCGCGGGGGGCGCCGUGGUAGGGCUCGUCCCCUGCGCCGUGGGAGGCACGCGGAUGGCAGAGUGGGGCAGGGGCACCGAGCUCUACGCCGAGAUGCUGCGCCGGGCCAGGGUCGCCGUCGAGACGGGGGGCCGCAUCGGUGCGCUGUUGUGGUACCAGGGGGAGAGUGACACCGUCCGCUGGUCCGACGCCACCGAGUACGGCCGCCGGAUGGGGAUGCUCGUCCGUGAUCUCCGCGCCGAUCUUGGCAUCCCGCACCUCCUCGUCAUCCAGGUCGGGUUAGCAUCGGGCCUAGGACAGUAUACUCAAGUCGUGAGAGACGCUCAGAAAGGGAUCAAACUUCGCAACGUCAGAUUCGUUGAUGCGAUGGGGUUGCCAUUGCAAGACGGCCAUCUGCAUCUAAGCACCCAAGCUCAAGUCCAGCUUGGGCGUAUGUUGGCUCAGUCCUAUCUAAAUUAUGGACAUGCACACUCUCCAACCCCUAAACCAUGGUGGCUGCAAAUCGUUUUGGUAUUUUGCUUCAUUUUUGUUUGAAACGGAGCAUGCAAAUCGUUCAGGUGAGCAGAAGAAGAAGAAGAAACCCAAAUGAGUUUAACAUAGGCAUCCAGGACUUAUUCUGUCAAUCAAUAAGUCUCAUUGUCUGACUAGUUGUAAUGUAAAAGGAGAACACAGAGAGUAGUCGACAGUCUUGAUAAGCAUUUGAAAUUUGCCUAACUUUGGAGUUGGUCAGAAUUCAAUCAGAUAGAUAUACAUAUGGAAUCUCUUUUAGAGGGGCAUUGCUACCCUUUUCUUCGCAAAACUCCCUUCGCUCCUAUGGUACCAAAAUGCUUCAUCUGAGCUCUGGUUUUAGGUCACGAAGAUCCCAUAGACGAAGCUUACAUAAUUAACCCUAAAACAGACUUGCUAACGAAUAGAACUCAUUGGUUUGAGUACCUUUGUUUAGGCACAUCUUCUUCUGUCUCGUCGUUCAAUCGCACGUCUGUAUGAUCCAUACUACUUACUUAUUUUUGGAACAAUCUCGGGCGCAACGCUUUCCGACCCAGAGUUGGGUGAAGCAGACCUUUUUAGAGGGCACUUUUACGUUUCGACCCCUCAGGAGACACGGGUCAUGUGAAGCGUGGAGUGGGUCUAUUCUCGAGUUACCGUGGUCUUUGUUGUACCUAUGAUAUUCAUUCCUGACAUUAUCCUACUCAUGUUUUCUUAUCAUAAAUCACAUUGUUGGAUUUUUUGUAGAGAUCAUUUCUUCAUAAAAAAUAUAUAGGUAUUAUACUUUGUUAUUACCGAAAACAAUCAUUUAUAGCGAUCUCUGACCAAAAUGUCGGUUGUAUGCGCAUCGAUCGUAUGCGAGAGGCUCCUAUUCCUUACCCACUCAUGUUUCCUUGCCAUAAAACAUGUUUAUUGGAUUUUUUUUUGUGGAGACCGUUUCUUCGUAAAAAUCAAUAGGUGUUAGACUUUGGUAUCGCUGAAAACAGUUGAUUAUUGUGUUUUGGCCAAAAAUAACGGUUGUAUGUCCAUCUAUCUUUAAUGAGAGUCUCCUAUUGCUUACCACACACAUUUUUUUUUGCCAUAAAUUAGUUUCUUGAAUUUUUGGGAUGAUAUUUCUUCAUAAAAAAUCAAUAGGUGUUUUUUUUGCUAGAAAUCGUAUUCUUAGAAUUUUGGUGCAAAUCAUUCCUUUGUGAAGAAUCCAUAUAUGUUAGUUUUCGGUAUUCUCGAAAAUGUUUGUUCAUAGCCUUUUUCACCCAAAAAAUGUCGGUUGUAUGCCUAUCGAUCAUCGGCGAGUGGAUUUUAUCCUUACACCACUCAUGUUUUUAUGACAUAAAUCACAUUCUUGUGAAAAAAAUCUAUAGGUGUUAACCUUUGACAUUUCCAAAAAAUCUCUCCCAUCAAUCGUUUAUAUAUUGCUUGACCUGGUCAUAACUCAAAGGAUAACACUCUCUACUGUCUAAUAGGAAAAACGUUCCACCCAAUAAAACCAGAAAUGGGACAAGCCAAAUAAAAUGAUCGCCACAAGCGUGCUGAAGUCCAUGCCUGCUGAUUGAUGGAUGAUGGAUUGUCGUGUCAUGUCAUCCGUCAGCUAAGCCUUCGCCAUCUACUCGGUGGCCAACUCCAGGUACCCAUAGCGGUGGCGUCGGUACGCCCGCGGAGGACACGGAUGCCGCGGAUGGAAAUCUCCGACCUGGCGCACGAACGAGCAAACCAAGGCGAUAGAGAAUAAGCCCAGAACCUCUAUGUUUGGCGGAUGCACUUCACCCUCCAAAUUUUACCGGACCUUUUACGGGAGCUUGUUGGACGCAUAAAGUAGCUUAAGAACCGCUAUAUAUAAUGUACAGAACGCUUUACCGAGCGUUGCUGGAGUACUGUGUCAACCAGUACA